GGGGCCGACAUCAUGGCGUAUCGGCGCCGGUCCCGCAUCAUCCAGAUGAUACACGACCACACCAGCAGGGCAAACGUCAGCCAGUUGUUAGAUCUCAGAUCGUUUCUGUGGCCAUCUUCCCAGGAACUGCUCGUCAUUAAGAUCAUAGGCUGAGGAAAGAGAGCACAUCAUGCUGUUACCUCCUCCUUAUCUCCUGAGAUGUACAUGACUCUGAAGAAGCUUGAAGGAUCAUCUGGGCUUUCUAUUGGACUGUCAGACUCUUCACCAUCAACAGUAUCCUGAGAAACACAGCAGCUAUUAAAAGCUUGUCAUCAGAGCCACCAGUGUGUAAUACAGCAGCAGCAGGACCAGUGGGUUGAUGAAGUCAGGCCAGAUGACAUGUGGUUGUAGACCAAGAGUGUACGGGUCUGAACUGUUGGUUCUGAUCACUCCUGUCAUACCAAACAACCUGGGACAGGAAGAGAGGAAGGAACAUCGGAUGAAAAAGGAGAGCGAGUGUGAACGGAGAAUGAGUGCAGAGAAGAACAACAUUAAAUAUUAACUUGGAACUUGCAAAGAAGAUAAAUCAGCCAAAAGGACAAUUUUAAUAAAGCCAUAAGAAAAAGGUGAAAACAGAUAAAUCUUUUUUUUCUGGCAAAAAUAUGUGCCUUUUCUCAGCUCCACAUCCUGUACUGUAUGAUGUAAAUGCAAACAUUUGAGCCACAGUUAAAAUUAAUGAAGGUUAACAGCCAGUAUUUCUGUUAAAAGUGUAUUGAUUACACAACAUUUUAUAUGACUCUUCAGUCUGGUGCAGUACUUUCACUGACACAUAAAUAUCAAUGCAAGAUGCAGAGUCAAAACUGAUGAACUUGAUGACCUGAUUUGGAUGAAUAUGCAUUGAAAUAUUCCCUUUUUAAAAUUUUCUGCUUGUAUUCAUAGUUUUGGAUUCAUCAUAUUUGUAACCAACAUGACAUUGUUGAUAUAUUUAAUAAAUGCACCAGAUCAAUCCAAUAUUUCAGUCUAAUUCUACUUUUCAACCACUUCCGUACCUGGCGUAAACAUCCUCU
This is a long non-coding RNA of Thunnus maccoyii (southern bluefin tuna), 1046 nucleotides long. RefSeq lists it as uncharacterized. The transcript is spliced from 4 exons. Lineage: Eukaryota; Metazoa; Chordata; Actinopteri; Scombriformes; Scombridae. The record is from RefSeq and is a predicted model, not a curated record.